Molecule: unclassified non-coding RNA, 719 nt
Filed under: Acromyrmex echinatior (Panamanian leafcutter ant)
Lineage: Eukaryota; Metazoa; Arthropoda; Insecta; Hymenoptera; Formicidae
Description: uncharacterized LOC105152333, transcript variant X2
Source: RNAcentral
AUUACUUUAUGAUCAUAAUUCACAAAGUAAGCAAUUGACCUCAAUCAAGAUAAUAAACUUUAAUAAAUUUUCGCGAUGUGUACACAGAACAUCGAUCAGAAAUUACACGUGAAACACCUGAUGUUUAACUUGAUCGCUUGGCGAUUAAAAAACCCAGCAAUACCAUGGAAUCGGUGACCUCGCUUUCGCUAGAUUUUCUGAUACAGUAACGGACGUCUGCAUUCUAAACGGGAGAUUACAGUAGGCAGCGAGACAAUGAAGACAGGACAAUCGCAACUCGUGAGAGGUGUUCAUGUUCGUCAAAGAGUUAAGGUCCGUUUAGCGGUAAAGUGGAAAGUGAAGGUAUAUACCAACACAUUGGCAAUGAUGUUGCAUUCACGAUGUGUUCUUUCAUUCUCUCCCAAGGUACAACAUUUCCUUCUAUCGUCCAGACGCACGCACACGUGCGAUGACACGUGUGUGCACUCUUUCGCUCUCUAGAUACAUACAUACAUACGUUAUAUACGCGUGAAAUAAAUCUUAUGUAAACGCGAGUGAAACCACCGACGUAUCGAAUUUGAUCGGCGCAUCCAUGUCGUCUUUCGAUUUCUAUGUUUUAUUUAUUUAUUUAUUUUUUCGUUCUACUACGGACUGACUGAAAAAUUUAGCUCACUGGGUUCAUGGAUUUUUAUCAUAGAUAAAGAAGAGAAGAAUUUUCUAAAUAAAUCAAUUAAUGACUA